CUACGGGUGGCUCCAGUGAGGAAUAUUGCACAAUGGGGGAAACCCUGAUGCAGCAACGCCGCGUGGGGGAUGACGCAUUUCGGUGUGUAAACUCCUUUUAUAUGUCAAGAAAAUGACGGUAGCAUAUGAAUAAGCACCGGCUAACUCCGUGCCAGCAGCCGCGGUAAUACGGAGGGUGCAAGCGUUACUCGGAAUCACUGGGCGUAAAGGACGCGUAGGCUGGUUGGUAAGUCAGGUGUGAAAUCCUACAGCUUAACUGUAGAACUGCACUUGAAACUACCAACCUAGAGUAUGGGAGGGGGAGAUGGAAUUAGUGGUGUAGGGGUAAAAUCCGUAGAUAUCACUAGGAAUACCGAAAGCGAAGGCGAUCUCCUGGAACAUAACUGACGCCAAGGCGUGAAAGCGUGGGGAGCAAACAGGAUUAGAUACCCUCGUAGUC
Molecule: ribosomal RNA, 439 nt
Filed under: uncultured bacterium
Lineage: Bacteria
Description: partial 16S ribosomal RNA
Rfam family: Bacterial small subunit ribosomal RNA
Source: RNAcentral